ACUUGUAUUCUUUCUUCUAACAUACAGGGUUUUGCAAAAAAAAUGAAGUUUUCAAUGAACUCUCCUCUCAGCCCAUUGGCAAUACACCAGUACAGUCGGCUCGUCUUCUUUCUUCUUCAAAUUCUUUUUCUGCUUCGCUUUACUAAGCAAUGAAUUAAUUAUGCAUCGGCGAUGGAUCCAUCGCUAUAAUAAUAUGUACGGGCGGAGUUCAAAUCUGUCACUGGAAUUUUUCUUUUUUUCUUUUAAAUGAAUUGAGUAGCAGUGGUCACACAUUCAUUAGAGUAGCAGUUUGAGUGAAUCAACUGUAUUAAGUUUUGUUCCUUCUCACAUUGAUCCCUUUCAUCUAAUAACUAUAAUUGUCGCCAUCGAUCUCAAAUAAAAGUUAUAGCUGUGAGGAAGUUAGGGAUCCUUCUCAUUAUUUACCUAAUUUUUUUUUCACUUAAGC
This 445-nucleotide unclassified non-coding RNA is filed under the name Hevea brasiliensis (rubber tree). Lineage: Eukaryota; Viridiplantae; Streptophyta; Magnoliopsida; Malpighiales; Euphorbiaceae. The record is from RNAcentral.